Molecule: long non-coding RNA, 756 nt
Organism: Tachyglossus aculeatus (Australian echidna)
Lineage: Eukaryota; Metazoa; Chordata; Mammalia; Monotremata; Tachyglossidae
Exons: 3
Source: RefSeq, a predicted model, not a curated record
UAAUUUGGGGCAAAGAGUAUAGUGCCCAGCGCUUAGAACAGUGCUCAGCACUUAGAACAGUGCUCUGCACAUAGUAAGCGCUUAAUAAAUGCCAUUAUUAAAAAAAAAGAGUAGCCUUGUAGAAGGAGCAGCCCUGUGUCAGACGUAAAGAACAGGAUGGAACCUAUCUCUGUGGUAAAUUCAGACCAGUUAGUCUGCAGGAAAGACACUCGGGAAGGUUGAUCCAUUUUCAACACUUGCUAUCCACUAGGCUUAGCAGGUGGAUUAGCGAAGGGCAAGAGAGCCUAACCCAAGUUUUGCCACUUGACUCAGAUGACUGACAACUGUAUUUCUGCCUCACAACACCGGGUCAGGUUUGGGUCCUUUUCAAUCCAUCAGAGAAGCAACCAGUGCCAUCUGCGCUUGACCUCGCACGGUCUCUGGGAUCAGAAAUCUCAGCCGCAGAAGACUUAUGUGGUGAGAGACCCAAUGAUAUCCUUUCUUCCUGUUCCCUCCGGGACACAGCCCAUAGAAGAUGGGAGAGAGAAGCAAGCACAGGCCAGCUCACCUCUGUGGAAUACACCCCAGUGGCGAUAUACAACCGGUUGGACAUUGGAUCUCAGUUUUGCAUUUAAAUGGAAAAAGUCGGUUCUAACAUGACAAACAGGAGACAACUUCUAAACUAAUCACCAAAGAUUUCCUGGCCGGACAGAAGAAGGGUCACUUCUAAAUCAGAAAAACAGCAUGGCGUAGUGGAUAGAGCACGGGCCCGGGAGU